RNAcentral lists this long non-coding RNA (2483 nucleotides) under Papio anubis (olive baboon). Its description in RNAcentral is "lncRNA (ENSPANG00000047751.1)". The record is from RNAcentral. Lineage: Eukaryota; Metazoa; Chordata; Mammalia; Primates; Cercopithecidae.
GAUGAAGAUGGCGCUGGGCUGUCAGACGCCUGCGGGCCGAACCCGGAUACGGCAGCGCGCGCGACGCUUCGCAGCGACACCGAAAUCUCUGGCGGCGGCGCCGCAGGGACUGUCAGACUGCAGAGUCGCAGACGCAGCCGCAAUGGGUCAGUGCGCCAACCCUACGUCACUGCCGACGCGGCCAGUGGGGCAACGUGAGUGGCCGAGGACCAGGGGAGAUGCGGCAGGAGGCGGGUUCGAGGCGGGGCGCCACGGUGUGGGCUGGGCCGAGGGCCUGACGCUGCCGCGCCCGCGGGCGGGGCGAGGGCUGCGAGCUGCUUUGUUGUGUCUGGUCUGAGAUUCGGGAAGCUUCUGUGCGUAGGCGCUGCAGUUUGAGAGGCUGAAAACGUCACGACGCGAAAUCUAAGAAACGUAGUCAAAUUAUGUAUUAUUAAAACCUCAAUAACUGUACCAAGGGAAGUUCUGUGCUUUAUUCAGCUCUAUGUGUUCAGCACUUAGCAUAGCGCCUGGCGGAUGGUCAGUGUUCUUUGACUUGUUGCUAAAUACAGAGAAGAUUCAGCCGAAAGGUAGCAAGGAAAUACAUUGUCUGGUUUCAAGGCUCAGAACCUUUACAUGGUUCCUUACUCAUGGAGGCCGGAAGACUGUAUAAAAUGUCAGGAGGAGAAAAUAUUAUCUGAAUGAAGAACCAGCCAGAGAAAACAGUUCUCUGAACUUUGAGGUCUGGCAGGCCUGGGUUUCUUUCUUUCUUUCUUUCUUUUCCUUCCUUCCUCCCUUCCUCCCUUCCUCCCUUCCUCCCUUCCUUCCUUCCUUCCUUCCGUAUAUGUUGAAUACCUAAUACGCACCAGGCACUGUUUUAGGCGUGGAGGAUACAGACAAGAUCCCUGUACUCAUUGAAAUAGAAUAGGACAAAUGGGCAGGGCGCGGUGGCUCACGCCUGUAAUCCCAGCACUUUGGGAGGCCAAGGCGGGCAGAUCACGAGGUCAGGAGAUGGAGACCACGGUGAAACCCCGUCUCUACUAAAAAAAUACAAAAAAUUAGCCGGGCGCGGUGGUGGGCGCCUAUAGUCUCAGCCACUCGGAGGCUGAGACAGAAGAAUGGCGUGAACCCCGGAGGCGGAGCUUGCAGUGCGCCAAGAUCGCGCCACUGCACUCCAGCCUGGGCGACAGAGCAAGACUCUGUCUCAAAAAAAAAAAAAAAAAAGGAAUAGGACAAACGACACACCAAUUAAGCAACAAAAAUAUAGGAAGUGAUAACUACAUUGAUGAAAAAACAGGGUGAUACAAUGGAGCCUGGGGACACAACUUCAGGGAGGGCCUUGCUGAGGAAGUGAUUUUUGAAGCUUGGGACCUGAAUCAUGAGGAAGAACUAGCCCUACAAAGAUCAGGGGACUCAUCUUCCCAUCCGGAGAAGAGUGGAUGCAAAAGCCCUAGCUUUGUGUUUUGAGGAAGAGUCAUUCGGUCAGAUGCCAUAAAGAGUUCAGUCCCACAAGACUGCCCCCACUUCAGACAACAAUCACAAGUCUCAGGUUGUGACCUGUGCUUCUGACCAACCAGCUAUAAAUUAGGGUUUCCAGACCAGGCGUGGUGGCUCAUGCCUAUAAUCCCAGCAUUUUGGGAGGCCAAGGCACGUGGAUCACCUGAGGUCAGGACUUCAAGAUCAGCCUAGCCAGCAUGGUAAAACCCUAUCUCUACUACAAAUAGGAAAAAGAGCUGGGCAUGGUGGCACACACCUGUAAUCCCAGCUAUUCGGGAGGCUGAAGCAAGAGAAUCGCUUGAACCCAGGAGGCGGAAGUUGCAGUGAGCCAAGAUUGCCCCACUCCACCUGGACCACGGAGAGAGACUCCCUCUCAACAAAUAAAUUAGGGUUUUCAUGACCCCUCCAUCUUGAGUUCCAUAAUUUGCUAGAAUGGCUCACAGAACUCAAAAAAACACUUUAUGUUUACCAGAUUAUUAUAUUGAGCACCUACUAGUACCUAACAGUACCUACCAGGCACUGUUAUCAGUAUUGGGGAUACAGCAGUGAAUAAAACAAAAUUUGGGGGAUAAGAGAGGCAAACAAGGCCAUAACUGAAGCAAAGUAAGUUAGGGGAAGAGUGGAAUAAGAGGUGGCAGAGCAGUGAGACCUCAGCGUGGAAUCAAGGAAUGGUGGGACCAAGGACUGAAAUAGAGAUCAUAGAGAAUUCUAUUCUCUUAAGUUUGAGGUGACUAUUAGGCAUCCAGGUAGAUAUGUCAAAUAAACAGAUAUACUGUAAAAGUCGGAAGUUCAAAACUAAGGUAAAUUUGGUAGUUAUGUUGUAAAUAUAAAGGUAGCAUUUAAUGUCAGGAUUCUAUGGUUUGAAUGUGUCCCCCAAAGCUCAUGUGUUGGAAACUUAAUCCCCAAAGCAAUAGUGUUGAGAGGGGGGACUUUUAAGAGGUGAUGAGGUUAUGAGGGCAGAGCUCUGAAUGCUGUUAUCACAGGAGUGGGUUAGUUAUUGGGGAGCGAGU